GGGGGUGUUUUGGGAAUCGACUUGAGUGUUGACACCAGGAAAGCGAGCCGAGGACUCCUUUCACUCGUAAAAUACUGGAAACUUAAAAUUAUCUGCAAACGAUAAUAAUUACGCUUUAGCGGCUGCGUAAAGCACCGCUACACUUAAUAAGUAUCUUGUCUGUGGAUGCUUAUAAGUGUCAUAACUAGCAGGCUACUCAUCUUCUGAUGCUUGUAGGGGGAUGGGGAAAUUACAAGCUACUAACUUUAGAUCCUGCUUAUGGGAGCUAAGGUUACGAUUCUAAAGCAUAAGCUACGCUCGUAGAACCCUGAGUGGAGACUUUUAAGGACGGCGGUUCGAAUCCGCCCACCUCCACCA
This 357-nucleotide transfer-messenger RNA is filed under the name Selenihalanaerobacter shriftii. RNAcentral's name for it is "Standard tmRNA". It matches the Rfam family "transfer-messenger RNA". Rfam says of the family: Bacterial tmRNA, also known as 10Sa RNA or SsrA, is named for its dual tRNA and mRNA-like properties. Lineage: Bacteria; Bacillati; Bacillota; Clostridia; Halanaerobiales; Halobacteroidaceae. The record is from Rfam by way of RNAcentral.